Molecule: long non-coding RNA, 944 nt
Filed under: Anas platyrhynchos platyrhynchos (common mallard)
Lineage: Eukaryota; Metazoa; Chordata; Aves; Anseriformes; Anatidae
Description: lncRNA (ENSAPLG00000029021.1)
Source: RNAcentral
UCUCCCCAAGCACUUUAAUCCCUACUCUGUUCCUCUUUCUAUGGUGUGAGAGCUACAUCUCUCAGCACGUCCAGAGAACCUUCUUGCCCUUUCUUCAGCACAAUCAACAUGGAAGAAAGCAAUACAAAUUUUAGACAAAUUUGGGCAGCAACCCACACAGCUAGCAAAACGACAUGGGAACAAUAAGAAACUAUUUAAACAGUCACUAGGAAGUUAAAACAAAUUAAAUUAAACUUUAAAGGGGGGGGGGGGGGGGGGAAGAAGGGAGAGGGAAAAAGCAACAACAACAACAAAACACAACUAAAAGAAACAAACAAAAACCAACCCAAGAGCUAAAUAAAGCAUGGAGAAAGAAGGAAGGAAGCCAACAUUUGGGAAGCAUAUUAAGUUAGCUUGUUUGGGUGAGGCUGCACGGCAACAGACUCAGCUUUGCUCCUGAGUUCUGUGAAAAACAGGAUUGUAACAACCACAUACCUGCCAAGUCCUGCACAGAUAACAGAUGUUAGGGACACUCCUUUACUCAAAGUGGAGCCAAGAUCCAAGAUCUGUUGAAAGAAGGAAGAGAAAGAACCACUUCAGUCUGAAUUGUGCAAGGAAGAGGACAAGGAGUUUAAAAAGGGGCCCCAAGGAGAGAAAGGGGUUUAAGGAGAAGGGAAGAGCUAAACAAGAGCACACUCAAGUGAAAACCUGGAAAUUUAACCAGAAUUUUUGUGUCUCUGUAAAGCAGUUGAUAAGAUUUUUCCACUGACCUUAGACAGUGAGUGUCACAGUCACGUUACUGAAAAAUCUCACGGGAUCUCUUGAUCAUUUCUAAUCAAGGUAAAAGUGCAAGUUUAACUUCUUACCAGCAGUAAGAGGAAAGGAAAGGAAAGGAAAGGAAAGGAAAGGAAAGGAAAGGAAAGGAAAGGAAAGGAAAGGAAAGGAAAGGAAAGGAAAGGAAAGGA